Molecule: long non-coding RNA, 207 nt
Filed under: Lathyrus oleraceus (garden pea)
Lineage: Eukaryota; Viridiplantae; Streptophyta; Magnoliopsida; Fabales; Fabaceae
Description: Pisum sativum (pea) long non-coding RNA (PSAT_LNC028467)
Source: RNAcentral
ACUUCAGUGCAAAUUUUCGGGCUUUUAUUGUAUUCAAUCCCUUGAUACCUUGAAAGCACGAAAGUCGUUGCUAUCUUUUUUCCAGGUCUCCAGUUGAUUGAAUAGGGGCAACUGUAAUACCCCAAAAUUUAGCCUUCAUUUUUCCUGGAAGCAUACGCUUUACACCUCAUGCAUGCAUUCAUUUUUAGGUCAUUUAGCAUUUGCAUU